GUGUCGUGAGAUGUUGGGUUAAGUCCCGCAACGAGCGCAACCCCUAUUGUUAGUUGCCAUCAUUCAGUUGGGCACUCUAGCGAGACUGCCGGUAAUAAACCGGAGGAAGGUGGGGAUGACGUCAAAUCAUCAUGCCCCUUAUGACCUGGGCUACACACGUGCUACAAUGGUUGGUACAACGAGUUGCGAGUCGGUGACGGCGAGCUAAUCUCUUAAAGCCAAUCUCAGUUCGGAUUGUAGGCUGCAACUCGCCUACAUGAAGUCGGAAUCGCUAGUAAUCGCGGAUCAGCACGCCGCGGUGAAUACGUUCCCGGGCCUU
RNAcentral lists this ribosomal RNA (319 nucleotides) under uncultured Streptococcus sp. Its description in RNAcentral is "bacterial SSU rRNA". It matches the Rfam family "Bacterial small subunit ribosomal RNA", at positions 1062 to 1382 of the family's 1533-position model. Lineage: Bacteria; Bacillati; Bacillota; Bacilli; Lactobacillales; Streptococcaceae. The record is from RNAcentral.